RNAcentral lists this non-coding RNA (123 nucleotides) under Deinococcus maricopensis. RNAcentral's name for it is "SAM-I sequence". It matches the Rfam family "SAM riboswitch aptamer (S box leader)". From Rfam's summary of the family: The SAM riboswitch is found upstream of a number of genes which code for proteins involved in methionine or cysteine biosynthesis in Gram-positive bacteria. The SAM riboswitch acts at the level of transcription termination control. The record is from RNAcentral. Lineage: Bacteria; Thermotogati; Deinococcota; Deinococci; Deinococcales; Deinococcaceae. RNAcentral also lists the same sequence under 1 other name.
CUCUUAUCCAGAGCGACACAGGGAUCUGGCCCAGUGACCGUCGCAGCAACCGGCCCUCAUCACGGCACGGUGCUCUCCAGCCCGACCGCGCCAACGAUGGCCCAGCGGCGGGACCGAUAAGGG